RNAcentral lists this transfer RNA (71 nucleotides) under Prevotellaceae bacterium. Its description in RNAcentral is "tRNA-Gln". It matches the Rfam family "tRNA". From Rfam's summary of the family: Transfer RNA (tRNA) molecules are approximately 80 nucleotides in length. Lineage: Bacteria; Pseudomonadati; Bacteroidota; Bacteroidia; Bacteroidales; Prevotellaceae. The record is from RNAcentral.
UGUCUCAUGGUGUAAUGGUAGCACUGCAGAUUCUGGCUCUGCCUGUCCGGGUUCAAAUCCUGGUGAGACAA